AUGUACUGAUUGCCUCCCCUCAAAAACAAAAGUAUCUGUUCUAAUUUGUCCCCAUGGCAUGGACUCAGAAGAUAGUACUGUGGUGAAAUUCAACUGUCAAAGUAAUUAGAUUCUCAGGAUGCUUUUUUAGUUCUUCAUAAGUGCAGUAUAAAGUUCUAACUUCUUGCUCUCUUUCAAUGCCCCACAUAUUCUGGACCCAUUCUACCAAUUCAGCAAGUACCCACCAUUCCAAAUGGACACAACUCCUCACUCCCCAUGGUUUUCCAAGACCUUCCAAACACAUUGGAUGAAAUUGAUGCUUUAUUAACUGAAGAAAGAUCAAGAGCUUCCUGCUUCACGGGACUGAAUCCUACAAUUGUUCAGGAAUAUACAAAAAGAGAAGAAGAAAUAGAACAGUUAACUGAGGAACUAAAGGGAAAGAAAGUUGAACUAGAUCAAUACAGAGAAAACAUUUCACAGGUAAAAGAAAGGUGGCUUAAUCCUUUAAAAGAGCUGGUAGAAAAAAUUAAUGAAAAAUUCAGCAAUUUUUUUAGUUCCAUGCAGUGUGCUGGUGAAGUUGAUCUCCAUACAGAAAAUGAGGAAGAUUAUGAUAAAUAUGGAAUUCGAAUUAGAGUCAAAUUUCGCAGUAGUACUCAACUGCAUGAAUUAACUCCUUAUCAUCAAAGUGGAGGUGAAAGAAGUGUUUCUACCAUGUUAUACUUGAUGGCACUUCAGGAGCUAAAUAGAUGUCCAUUUAGAGUAGUUGAUGAAAUCAAUCAGGGAAUGGACCCAGUCAAUGAACGGAGAGUGUUUGAAAUGGUUGUAAAUACUGCCUGUAAAGAAAAUACAUCUCAAUACUUUUUCAUAACACCAAAGCUCCUGCAAAAUCUUCCUUAUUCUGAAAAGAUGACAGUUUUGUUUGUCUACAAUG
This 910-nucleotide small RNA is filed under the name Pongo abelii (Sumatran orangutan). RNAcentral describes it as "retained intron". Lineage: Eukaryota; Metazoa; Chordata; Mammalia; Primates; Hominidae. The record is from RNAcentral.